This 466-nucleotide ribosomal RNA is filed under the name uncultured bacterium. Its description in RNAcentral is "bacterial SSU rRNA". It matches the Rfam family "Bacterial small subunit ribosomal RNA", at positions 30 to 506 of the family's 1533-position model. The record is from RNAcentral.
UCGAACGCUGGCGGCAUGGCUAAGGCAUGCAAGUCGAACGAAAAUUAUUGGUGCUUGCAUCGAUGAUAAAAGUGGCAAACGGGAGAGUAACACAUUGGUAACUUACCUUGUACUCGUGAACAACUAUUGGAAACGAUAGCUAAUACACGAUAUGGAUGGGGGGUCGCAAGACAUUCCCAUUGAAAGAUUUAUCGGUACAAGAAGGGCCUAUGUUCUAUCAGCUAGUUGGUGAGGUAAUGGCUCACCAAGGCUAUGACGGAUACCGGGCGUGAGAGCGUGACCCGGCUCACUGGGACUGAGACACUGCCCAGACACCUACGGGUGGCUGCAGUCGCGAAUCUUCCACAAUGCACGAAAGUGUGAUGGAGCAAUGCCGCGUGCCGGAUGAAGGCCUUCGGGUCGUAAACGGCUGUUCUGAGGGACGAACGAUGACGGUACCUCAGCAGAAAGGGGUUGCUAACUCUGU